This 393-nucleotide ribosomal RNA is filed under the name uncultured bacterium. RNAcentral's name for it is "partial 16S ribosomal RNA". It matches the Rfam family "Bacterial small subunit ribosomal RNA", at positions 523 to 918 of the family's 1533-position model. The record is from RNAcentral.
AUACGGAGGAUCCGAGCGUUAUCCGGAUUUAUUGGGUUUAAAGGGUGCGCAGGCGGGAUGUUAAGUCGGCGGUGAAAUUUUGCAGCUCAACUGUAAAAGUGCCUUCGAUACUGGCUUUCUUGAGUGUGGAUGAAGUAGGCGGAAUUUGUGGUGUAGCGGUGAAAUGCUUAGAUAUCACGAGGAACUCCGAUUGCGCAGGCAGCUUACUAAACCACUACUGACGCUCAUGCACGAAGGCGUGGGGAUCAAACAGGAUUAGAUACCCUGGUAGUCCACGCAGUAAACGAUGAUUACUAGUUGUUUGCGAUACAAUGUAAGCGACUGAGCGAAAGCGUUAAGUAAUCCACCUGGGGAGUACGUUCGCAAGAAUGAAACUUAAAGGAAUUGACGGGG